Molecule: unclassified non-coding RNA, 314 nt
Filed under: plant metagenome
Description: partial contains 5.8S ribosomal RNA, internal transcribed spacer 2, and large subunit ribosomal RNA
Rfam family: 5.8S ribosomal RNA (bases 1-105)
Source: RNAcentral
GAAAUGCGAUAAUUAAUGUGAAUUGCAGAAUUCAGUGAAUCAUCGAGUCUUUGAACGCACAUCGCGCCCCCUGGUAUUCCGGGGGGCAUGCCUGUCCGAGCGUCAUUGCUGCCCUCAAGCACGGCUUGUGUGUUGGGCUUCCGUCCCUGGCAACGGGGACGGGCCCAAAAGGCAGUGGCGGCACCAUGUCUGGUCCUCGAGCGUAUGGGGCUUUGUCACCCGCUCCCGUAGGUCCAGCUGGCAGCUAGCCUCGCAACCAAUCUUUUUAACCAGGUUGACCUCGGAUCAGGUAGGGAUACCCGCUGAACUUAAGC